Molecule: unclassified non-coding RNA, 332 nt
Filed under: soil metagenome
Description: partial contains 5.8S ribosomal RNA, internal transcribed spacer 2, and large subunit ribosomal RNA
Rfam family: 5.8S ribosomal RNA (bases 1-120)
Source: RNAcentral
GAUGAAGAACGUAGCGAAAUGCGAUAAGUAGUGUGAAUUGCAGAAAUCAGUGAAUCAUCGAAUCUUUGAACGCACAUUGCGCCCCUCGGUAUUCCGUGGGGCAUGCCUGUUCGAGCGUCAUUUACCCCUCAAGCACUGCUUGGUGUUGGGCGUCUGUCCCGCUUCGCGCGCGGACUCGCCCCAAAGGUAUUGGCAGCGGUCGUGCCAGCUUCUCGCGCAGCACAUUGCGCUUCUCGAGGCGGUCGAUCGGCGUCCACGAAGCUCACCUCCACCGUUUGACCUCGGAUCAGGUAGGGAUACCCGCUGAACUUAAGCAUAUCAUAAGCGGAGGA